CAGGGGGUGCAAACGUUGCUCGGAAUUAUUGGGCGUAAAGCGCGCGUAGGCGGCCACUUAAGUCGGAUGUGAAAGCCCUUGGCUCAACUGAGGAAGUGCACCCGAAACUGAAUGGCUUGGGUACUAAAGAGGGUCGCGGAAUUCCCGGUGUAGAGGUGAAAUUCGUAGAUAUCGGGAGGAACACCGGUGGCGAAGGCGGCGACCUGGGUAGAUACUGACGCUGAGGCGCGAAAGCGUGGGGAGCAAACAGGAUUAGAUACCCUGGUAGUCCACGCCGUAAACGAUGGGUGCUAGAUGUUUCUGGUAUUGACCCCGGAGGCGUCGUAGCUAACGCGUUAAGCACCCCGCCUGGGAAGUACGGCCGCAAGGCUA
RNAcentral lists this ribosomal RNA (372 nucleotides) under uncultured organism. Its description in RNAcentral is "bacterial SSU rRNA". It matches the Rfam family "Bacterial small subunit ribosomal RNA", at positions 526 to 896 of the family's 1533-position model. The record is from RNAcentral.